AAUUAACCCGUAUGAGGGAUGGAAGCGGCAUCCUUUUAUGUAUUUUCUUUAAAUACAUAAAAGAUACAGCGUACAGCCCGACCUUAU
This 87-nucleotide small RNA is filed under the name Flavobacterium flevense. RNAcentral describes it as "Flavo-1 RNA". It matches the Rfam family "Flavo-1 RNA". The record is from RNAcentral. Lineage: Bacteria; Pseudomonadati; Bacteroidota; Flavobacteriia; Flavobacteriales; Flavobacteriaceae.